Molecule: long non-coding RNA, 1435 nt
Filed under: Homo sapiens (human)
Lineage: Eukaryota; Metazoa; Chordata; Mammalia; Primates; Hominidae
Description: HSALNT0404400
Source: RNAcentral
CAGGUCCUGUGACAACAGGUACGGGCCAGCAUUGGGACAGGCUUUGCCUGUAAGAGGGCUGGUCUGGGGGGACAUCUGAACCCAAUUCAGGAACACCUCACAGGUCUGCCAGCAGGGCUAGACCCGGGGUGAGAUCCAGGGCAACAGGGUCUGCCUGGGAAGCUCAGCUCCGGCACUGCCUGGGGCGUCUCUGCCUACACAGGACCAUUCCUCUCGCCUGGACUCCUCUUGGAGUUUGCCAAGGCUGGCCUCUGCAGAAAUAGGAGACUCCUGGAGGAAGACAGUGGACUUCAGCAAGCUGCACCAAGGAGAAUCCACAGCGGCAGCUGCCCUGCCAGGCGCGGGAUCUCGGUCAAGGUGGAUCAACACAGCCUCAGGAAGCCCAGAGAGAACUGGACAAGCUGGAUAUCCCAAAGAGCAUGGCACUGGCCCACCACAUUGAUUACAUUGCGCUGGCCGGGUGCUAACCAAGAAGCAGCUAACACACUGGGAGUCUUGGUAAGAUGCCUGAGUGCCUGCAGCUGGCAGACAAAUCCUACAAAGAUUCUGGGAACUGCCACUAAUAACACUCUUGGUGGGGAGGUCCCAUAUCCCAUAACCAGGAGCAUACUGGGCCUCCUGUCCACAGCAAAGAGCCAAUUACUGCAUCUUGCAUCUCCCAUGACCAAGAGAGACAGACAAUGCCAGUACGCCUUCUGGAGGCAGCACGUUCCACACACAUGAAGACUACUCCAGCCUAUGUACCAUUGAUAGGAGAAGCUGUCGGCCUUCCCUGAGCCUGCAGCAGGUCGAGGCUGCAGUGCUGGCAGCCCUGUGACUCAGGCCCUGCAGCUGGUCGGACCCUGUGUUAUGAGAGGUAUCAGACGUGGGAAAGCAAUGCUGUGUGUUUAUGGCAAACCACUAUGCCAGAAUCACAGUGCAGGCCCCUGGGAUUCAGAAACAAAGCCGUGCCAUCUGCGGCAGAGGAUUCUGCGAAAAAUUCUGAAAAGUCCCUGUUGAUGUGCUCCUGGGGCCUGGGGUGAUGGAAUACCUGAUUGUGCAUGUGGAACUGCUCAGAUGAGCUGGAUUCUGUCUCACCCCUGGGUCAUGAGGUUGGGGACUCAGAAAUAACCCAUCACAGGUGGGAGUGUGCGUGUGGCAGCAGCAGAAGCAGGAGCAGGAGGCCAAGCAGCGGCAGCUGCCCAGUACCCCCCCCCACCCUCCACAGCAGUCCCCACAGCCCCAGUGGAGGAACCUUCUGGUGAACUGAGGAGGGAGGGACAAGCCCGGCCUCAGUUCAUGGAGGUGUCUGCUCUGCCUGUGGGGCCAGCCCAAAUCGCCUGGCUGCCAUACUCCAGUCUCAGCAAGCUGCCCUUUAAAGAGGGUGAUAUGGUUUGGCUCUGUGUCCCCACCCAAAUCUCAUCUUGAACUGUAAUCCCCAGGUGAUGAGGGUGAG